GCCUGGGUGGCUCAAUCGGUUGAGCUUCUGACUUCGGCUCAGGUCAUGAUCUCACGGUCGGUGAGUUCGAGUCCCGCAUCGGGCU
Transfer RNA from Felis catus (domestic cat), 85 nucleotides. It matches the Rfam family "tRNA". Rfam says of the family: Transfer RNA (tRNA) molecules are approximately 80 nucleotides in length. NCBI's taxonomy places the organism in Eukaryota, Metazoa, Chordata, Mammalia, Carnivora, Felidae. The record is from Rfam.